Molecule: ribosomal RNA, 497 nt
Filed under: uncultured bacterium
Lineage: Bacteria
Description: partial 16S ribosomal RNA
Rfam family: Bacterial small subunit ribosomal RNA
Source: RNAcentral
GAUGAACGCUGGCGGCGUGCCUAAUACAUGCAAGUCGAGCGAACGGACGAGAAGCUUGCUUCUCUGAUGUUAGCGGCGGACGGGUGAGUAACACGUGGAUAACCUAUCUAUAAGACUGGGAUAACUUCGGGAAACCGUAGCUAAUACCGGAUAAUAUUUUGAACCGCAUGGUUCAAAAGUGAAAGACGGUCUUGCUGUCACUUAUAGAUGGAUCCGCGCUGCAUUAGCUAGUUGGUAAGGUAACGGCUUACCAAGGCAACGAUGCAUAGCCGACCUGAGAGGGUGAUCGGCCACACUGGAACUGAGACACGGUCCAGACUCCUACGGGAGGCAGCAGUAGGGAAUAUUCCGCAAUGGGCGAAAGCCUGACGGAGCAACGCCGCGUGAGUGAUGAAGGUCUUCGGAUCGUAAAACUCUGUUAUUAGGGAAGAACAUAUGUGUAAGUAACUGUGCACAUCUUGACGGUACCUAAUCAGAAAGCCACGGCUAACUACGUG